GACGAACGCUGGCGGCGUGCCUAAUACAUGCAAGUAGAACGCACAGUUUAUACCGUAGCUUGCUACACCAUAGACUGUGAGUUGCGAACGGGUGAGUAACGCGUAGGUAACCUGCCUGGUAGCGGGGGAUAACUAUUGGAAACGAUAGCUAAUACCGCAUAAUAUUAAUUAUUGCAUGAUAAUUAAUUGAAAGGUGCAAUUGCACCACUACCAGAUGGACCUGCGUUGUAUUAGCUAGUAGGUGAGGUAACGGCUCACCUAGGCGACGAUACAUAGCCGACCUGAGAGGGUGAUCGGCCACACUGGGACUGAGACACGGCCCAGACUCCUACGGGAGGCAGCAGUAGGGAAUCUUCGGCAAUAGACGAAAGUCUGACCGAGCAACGCCGCGUGAGUGAAGAAGGUUUUCGGAUCGUAAAGCUCUGUUGUAAGAGAAGAACGGGGGUGAGAGUGGAAAGUUCACACUGUGACGGUAUCUUACCAGAAAGGGACGGCUAACUACGUG
This 505-nucleotide ribosomal RNA is filed under the name uncultured bacterium. RNAcentral's name for it is "partial 16S ribosomal RNA". It matches the Rfam family "Bacterial small subunit ribosomal RNA", at positions 28 to 507 of the family's 1533-position model. The record is from RNAcentral.